GGAGCCNGCCAGUGAGGAAUAUUGGUCAAUGGGCGAAGCCUGAACCCAGCCAUCCCGCGUGAAGGGAGACGGCCCUACGGGUUGUAAACUUCUUUUCUGCAGGAAUAAAGCGGUCUACGUGUAGGCAUUUGCAGGUACUGCAGGAAUAAGCAUCGGCUAACUCCGUGCCAGCAGCCGCGGUAAUACGGAGGAUGCAAGCGUUAUCCGGAUUCAUUGGGUUUAAAGGGUACGUAGGCGGCCUAAUAAGUCAGUGGUGAAAAUCUGUCGCUUAACGAUAGAAGUGCCAAUGAUACUGUGAGGCUUGAGUACAGAUGAGGUAAGCGGAAUGUGUAGUGUAGCGGUGAAAUGCAUAGAUAUUACACAGAACUCCGAUUGCGAAGGCAGCUUACUAAGUUGAGACUGACGCUGAUGUACGAAAGCGUGGGGAUCGAACAGGAUUAGAUACCCUGGUAGUCCACGCCGUAAACGAUGCUCACUGGCUGGAUGCGAUAUAUAGUAUGCGGCUAAGCGAAAGCGGUAAGUGAGCCACCUGGGGAGUACGCCGGCAACGGUG
RNAcentral lists this ribosomal RNA (553 nucleotides) under uncultured bacterium. Its description in RNAcentral is "bacterial SSU rRNA". It matches the Rfam family "Bacterial small subunit ribosomal RNA", at positions 344 to 896 of the family's 1533-position model. The record is from RNAcentral.